This 2590-nucleotide unclassified non-coding RNA is filed under the name Ooceraea biroi (clonal raider ant). RNAcentral's name for it is "uncharacterized LOC109611414, transcript variant X4". Lineage: Eukaryota; Metazoa; Arthropoda; Insecta; Hymenoptera; Formicidae. The record is from RNAcentral.
AAAUCAAGCUCAAAUAUCAUUUCCCGCAAGUUUUUAUUUACGCGACAUAUACUAUAAUAUCAUUAUCGCAAUUGCAUCGCUAUCACGUGUAUGAGGCCGGUGCAAACGCUAAGCUUACUACUGUUCGUGAUACAGAGAAGCAUGAAAUCUUGCAAACUCGUCAUGGAUGGCAUUUAUUCGGUGUGGUUGGAAAAUUUUACUACGAUAAUUUGCGUUGCGGAUACGAUGAUAAAUUCCAUUUCUACCUUGUUCUAAACAGACAAAUUUACUUUCUCAGCUUGCAAGCAUGUUAUCUCACUUCACGGUAAUUUAUUCCGCGCAACAAUAAGACCCGUAAGAAAAGAAUGGACACAUAGAAACUGAAUCUGUAUUCGCGCGCGAGAAAAUAAGUAUUUUAGAAUAUUUUAUUAUUCAGAAAAUUGAAUCUCAUCUCCAAAAUAGAUCAUAUGCCACUAAUCCGAUAAUUAAUUUAAUAAGCUUGUUUUUGUUUAUGAUUAUUUUAUUAAUAUAAUAAAUAGCAUCUCACACACACUCUCACGUCUCGUACUUUUAUUGCACUAUGUAUACGCAUUUUUAUAGUAAUAUGAAAUCAUUAACUCUUACAAUAAUUUACUUUCUACUACUAUCUUAAAAUAAAACAGAUAUUAUGUGAUAAACGUGACAGCUGGGAAAGAUAAAUUUAAUUGUUAAUAGCGCGAUUAACAAACAUCGUUGUACGUUAUACAAUCUCCCUCUUCCGAAUCAAUGAUGCGUACUUUACCUUACGUCUUUUACAUUAUCACUAAUGACUUCACCAAGUCUUGAAACUAGACCAAGUUACAAGGAACGAUGUUGCUCUUCGAACGAGUGAAAUGUGAAUGUAACGUGCUGGAGCGAUAUAAACGCUCCAUUCGCUACUGCGUCUGCGUCAUUUUUACUUGGAGGUAAAAAAAUAUACUCGCUUGUGAUCUUGGAAUAUGUAAUUUAAGUAAUUUAAGUAUUCACGCAACACGUCUUUUGCCAUUAACAUCAUGUGAAUGGUGUGACAAACGGACCUAUACACUAUUGGAAAAAUUCAACAAAAUAGAGACACGAAAAUAUGAUACUUUUCUUUAAUAGCGCUUCAAUUUUGUAUAAUAACUUUAAUACGACGCAAAUUGUAUCAUUCGCGUGGGGACUAUAAAGUACAGAAAAAAUAAAGUAUGUUACGAAUGAUCAAAAGAACUCGUUUAAAAUUGCGAGAAGGUAAACGUAUUCCGACCAUUGAACAAAUAUGGAUUUCGCAGGAAAGCGCUAUUAUAACAUACAUCGUAUCCUUUUGUCUUCAAUUGGUUUGUGGCCGUAUCAGGAUCCAAGAAAGAAAACGAUUCAAAGAAUCAUUUCUUCUGUUAUUCUCAUAUCCUCUGUCAUUGUUCAGUUAAUGAAAUUUCUCACAACUGAAUACAGUCUGGAUCUUCUACUUAAGGUUCUAUCAUUUACAAUACCUUGCAUAGUGUUCGUGUUGAAAUAUAUUUCUUUUAGCAUUGGUACUGAGACAGUGAAAGAUCUCAUGGAAAAUAUUAUAAACGAUUGGAGUUUGUUGAAAACCGAAGACGAGUUUGAAAUUAUAAAGAAGCAUUCCGAUUUUGGACGAUUUUAUACGAUGCUCUUCACAUUGGCUGUGUAUUCUGGUCUCAGUGUUUGCGUAGUGAUUCAACUUGCGCCAAAUUUUCUUGACUUCGUAGCACCACAAAACGAAUCGCGGCUACAUCACAUACCGAUAACUGCAGAAUACUUUGUUGAUCAACAAAAAUGCUAUCUGCCAAUUCUGUUGCACAUUGAUGUAAUAGCUGUCGUAGGAUUCACUACUGUGAUGUCUACUGAAUCGUUAUUUGCCGCGUUCGUACAGCAUGCCAUUGGAAUGUUUGCAAUUGCUAGUUACAGAAUAGAACACGCAUUUGAUGAAGUGUUGGGCAUUAACAUGCCAAGAAAGAAUUGUCCGUACUGUAGAAAAAUAAUAAAUGCCAUAUACAUUCACAAGAGAGCUAUUAAAUUUGUCGAAUUUCUGAGAUCCAGUUUUGCUAUUUCAUAUAUCUUCCUAAUCUGCUUGGGAAUUGCCUCUUUGACUGCUAAUUUAUUUCGCCUUUUUCUAACUUUACGAUGUAUGGAUGAUUUAGAGGAAUUUAUUAUCACCACAUUAUUCGUUUUCGGUCAUGUUUAUUAUAUAUUCUUGGGCAAUUAUACUGGUCAGAGAGUAAUAGAUUACAGCACAGAUAUAUUUUACAAAACGUACAUGUCACAAUGGUACAAUGGUCCGUUGCACGCGCAAAAAUUAUUAUUAUUUAUAAUGCAACGAAGCAUGAAAAGCACUGUCAUGUGUCUAGGGAAUUUAUUUGUUCCAUCGUUGGAAGGUUUCGCAACGGUAACUACUUACAUUGACGAAACUAUGACGAAACUUAAUUUUUAUAUAUUAUUCAUUUCGUAGAUGUAUAAAGCAAGUUUCUUAUUUCAGAUUACCAGUAUGUCAUUCUCGUACUUUACGGUGAUGUAAGAUUGAUUUUGAAAACGCAUUACACUAAAACUAAACUUGACGUUGUACUCAACGAAUGAGAAUACAAAAUGGGAAACAGAA